Molecule: non-coding RNA, 615 nt
Organism: Oryctolagus cuniculus (rabbit)
Lineage: Eukaryota; Metazoa; Chordata; Mammalia; Lagomorpha; Leporidae
Source: RefSeq, a predicted model, not a curated record
GCCGCCUGGCGGUCGGCACCGGAGGACGCGAGUGGGUGGGGAGCGCCCCUGGAGGGCCUCUAGCGGGCUCGGACCGUGCGAGGCAGGACGUUGGGGAAAGUUGGGGCAGACGCGAACUUGGGGCGUGUGCCCGGGAAAGAGAUGUGGCACCGCGUGGCGGCUGAGGGGCGGCUGAGGGACGGCGGCUGCCCGAGUCACCCCCGGGGAAGCGGCCGUGGGACGCUCCCCAGUCACCCAAACAGAACAAGGGGCCGCGGGCACCGAUUCCGGUACAUUGUUUUACUGAUUCUUGCUGUUAAAGAGUUCCAUCCAGGGGUCGGCGUUAUGUUGCAGCAGGUGAAGCCCCCACCAGCAAUGCCAGCACUAGUUUUAAGUCCCUCCGCUGCUCCACUUCUAAUCCAGCUCCCUGCUUAUGCGCCUGGGAAACCAGCAGAGGGUGGCCCAGGUGCUUAGGCCCCUGCCCCCACGUGGGAGACCCGGAUGGAGUUCCAUGCUCCUGGCCCAGCCCUGGCCAUCACAGCCAUUUGUGGAAUGAACCAGUAGAUGGAAGAUUUCUCUCUCUCUCUCUCUCUUUCCCUCUAACUCUUUCAAAUAAAUAAAUCUUGAGCAACAAAA